GAUUGAAUAAGCUAAAUUCAAGCCGUUGGGCUCAUACCCCAAAAAUGAGAUAUUCUCUUCAAUCA
Molecule: transfer RNA, 65 nt
Filed under: Glycera cf. oxycephala FS21
Lineage: Eukaryota; Metazoa; Annelida; Polychaeta; Phyllodocida; Glyceridae
Description: tRNA-Met
Source: RNAcentral